Molecule: long non-coding RNA, 237 nt
Filed under: Lathyrus oleraceus (garden pea)
Lineage: Eukaryota; Viridiplantae; Streptophyta; Magnoliopsida; Fabales; Fabaceae
Description: Pisum sativum (pea) long non-coding RNA (PSAT_LNC000991)
Source: RNAcentral
CUCCUGAUCCAACGCCUCACAAUUUUUUUUAUUUUUAAUUUCUGAUUUUAAUUUUCAUUUUAUUUCUUUUAUUCCAUUUCAUUCCAAAAAAUCAUAUCUCACUCAUUAUUGGUCCAAAAAAUGUGAGACCAAUUGCAUUGUUUCUCUUUUAAUCUCUAGUUUCUAAAAAUGAUUUUUAAUAUUUUUUAUUUUAUCAUUUGAUAUUUUUUAUGAAUUUUAUUUGUUCUGGUUGUUUUU